This 289-nucleotide long non-coding RNA is filed under the name Ictidomys tridecemlineatus (thirteen-lined ground squirrel). RNAcentral's name for it is "lncRNA (ENSSTOG00000031787.1)". The record is from RNAcentral. Lineage: Eukaryota; Metazoa; Chordata; Mammalia; Rodentia; Sciuridae.
AAGAAAUUCAAAAUGGCGGCCGGCUCAGGACUGCUGCUGGAGUGGCAGGAACAGAAAGCAACUCGCGAGGGGGCCGGGAGGCGGCACGCAGAGAUCCAGAACCCAGAAAGAAGCUGGUGGUGAUCUGCUGAGGUGUGUCGCACACUGGGGUCGCAGGCCCCUCUACAGCCGCACCAGGCCACUCGAUGGCGUGGAGAAGACCUGAGACCCUCAGAGCGACGCCAGCAUUAGCUGUAGCCCUGGGUCUGCAGGUUACACAGACCCCACCCGCCAACAGAAGUGGAGAAUC